This 460-nucleotide ribosomal RNA is filed under the name uncultured bacterium. RNAcentral describes it as "partial 16S ribosomal RNA". It matches the Rfam family "Bacterial small subunit ribosomal RNA", at positions 338 to 795 of the family's 1533-position model. The record is from RNAcentral.
CCUACGGGAGGCAGCAGUGAGGAAUAUUGGUCAAUGGGCUUACGCCUGAACCAGCCAAGUCGCGUGAGGGAAGACUGCCCUAUGGGUUGUAAACCUCUUUUGUCAGGGAGCAACGCCGGCUACGUGUAGCCGGACUGAGAGUACCUGCAGAAAAAGCAUCGGCUAACUCCGUGCCAGCAGCCGCGGUAAUACGGAGGAUGCGAGCGUUAUCCGGAUUUAUUGGGUUUAAAGGGUGCGUAGGCGGAAUGCCAAGUCAGCGGUAAAAUCGCGGGGCUCAACCUCGCUCCGCCGUUGAAACUGGCGGUCUUGAGUGGGCGAGAAGUAUGCGGAAUGCGUGGUGUAGCGGUGAAAUGCAUAGAUAUCACGCAGAACUCCGAUUGCGAAGGCAGCAUACCGGAGCACAACUGACGCUGAAGCACGAAAGCGUGGGUAUCGAACAGGAUUAGAUACCCUGGUAGUC